RNAcentral lists this long non-coding RNA (3132 nucleotides) under Homo sapiens (human). Its description in RNAcentral is "non-protein coding AATBC:1". Lineage: Eukaryota; Metazoa; Chordata; Mammalia; Primates; Hominidae. The record is from RNAcentral.
GACAGAAGGGAGCUCACACAGCACAUUCCCGAAGCUGCAGCACUGCUCUGCAGGCUGAGGGGGUCCUUGGUCUGGACAGAGGGUGGAGGCAGACCCCACCCACCAAGCAUAAAGCCUCAGGCUUGGAGAUCACAGGAAGUGCCUGUGUGGACUUGUGUAUGAGUGUGUGCACGUGUAUGUGUGUUUGCAUGCAUGUAUGUGUCUGUGUGUGUCUGCAUCUGCUUGUGUGUCUAUGUGCAUAUGUGUGCUUGUGUGCGUUUGUGUGCACCUGGAAUCUCAGCACUUUGGGAGGCCAAGGCAGGAGGAUCACAUAAGCUCAGGAGUUUGAGACCAGCCUAGGCAACAUUGUGAGACCACAAUCUCUACAAAAAAAAAAAAAAAAAAGGUCUCCCCCUACUCCUCACCCACAGUAAGGGGCCAGGGCUCCAUGCAAUGAGAACCCACGGGUGAUGCCACACGGGGGAGAAGCCACGCGGGGGAGAGGCCAUGCAGGGGAGAGGUUACAAGGGGGAGAGGCUGCGGGGUGAGAGGUCACAUGGGGCAGAGGCCACGCGGGGGAGAGGCCACGCAGGGGAGAGGUCACAUGGGGGAGGCCACGCAGGGGAGAGGUCACAUGGGGGAGAGGCCACACAAGGGAGAGGCCAUGCAGGGGAGAGGUCACAAUGGGGAGAGGCCGCAGGGGGGAGAGGUCACAUGGGGCAGAGGCCACGCGGGGGAGAGGCCACGCAGGGGAGAGGUCACAUGGGGGAGGACACGCAGGGGAGAGGUCACAAGGGGGAGAGGCCGCAGGGGGAGAGGUCACAUGGGGGAGAGGCUACACAGGGGAGAGGCCGCACGCUGGGGAGAUGGUCCCUGCGGGAAGACUCCGAGGCAGUCUCCUGCAGCUCCUUCCGGCGAAUCCGGUUCAGGAAGUAAAACCAGCCCUGUGUAGAGGUAAGUGAUGCUUGUGGGGAUAAUCUCCGAGCAGCUCACCGCGGCGCUGGCCAUUGCCGUUCUCUUCACGGUAGAAGAGUCCAUUUGGGGAAAAGGUCCCCAUCAGAGAUGGAGAUGUUCCCUUUCAGACUCCAGGCUAUGGCUGUGGGGCCGGCUCCCUACCACGUGGGCUGGGGGCUGGGCACAUGCAUGCCCACUCCUGGGCCCUCUUCCUGGUAGGCCACAGCACCACACACACUGCAAACCAGGCCUCUUCUUCAUCCACCACCACCGUCCAGGCCUCAACAUCACCGCGUGGGGUCUUGUGCCCUCUGGGGGAACUUCCGGGCUAAUGAGGGGGGACAGUCCCCAUUACCGGUCUAUCUUUAUAAGGCAGUAUAUGCAACAGUGGAAGUUCUGUGAGACAUGUUCCAACCCCGGGGCUGCUGGCAGAACUGUCCCCAAACCCACCCUCGAUCCCACGGCCAGGAAGUGGGUCCAAAAUUGCCUGGCCAGGUCACACCCCUGCGUGAACCGCCCCACAACACCCAGGGCGCUGCCUGACUUGCCGUCCACCUCUCAGCCCCUCCCCUCACCCCUGCCGCAGCUGCAGGGCCUACCCUCGCCGGGGGCUGCUCCCUGCUUACCUCCCUCGCCCGUGCAAUGCCUCUACUUCCCGCAAGGCCUACCGGGAGAUGUUACAGGUCACGGUCAUAUUUGAGCAUGAGAAGCUCACGCAGAGAACAUUCUGGCUGAGGGAGAGGUCUUGGGGUUCAAGGCUGUUUCUUGGCUCUGCUCAGCCAUGCCAGGCAGGAAAAUGGGCACCUCUAGUGACCCAGGCUGGCUGAGAGCCUGCAGGGAAGAGCCUUUGGAACGUGAGCCACUGUGGGCUGGCAGGACUGCAACUGGCGUCUCCAUCUACUGGUACCGAGGCGAGGAGGAAAAAGCAGGGGGGCCCGGAGACGGCCCCUCUAAGUCUGUAACUCCAGAGCUGCUGCUCAGUCCCCAGAACGUCACCUCCGAGCAGAGCCUGUGACAACUGUCAACUGUGAAGCUGUGGCGUGGGUUGCUACUGAAGCUCUGAAGUCAGCGAGGACACAGCAUGUUUGUUCUAGACCGUUUGGCUGCGGGAGGAAGCUGUACAUGCACACACUCGCCUCACCACCCUGCGAGUCCACAGGCCCCUCCCCGGAGUCACCUCCAGGUAAAGGGGGCCCUGCGUCGGGACUUGCUCUCUGGGGCGCUGAGAUGCUCUACAAUGAGCUGUGCUGCAGUGCACGGCCGCCCGACUGUGCACCCGCAACGGGGAACUGAACGCUGCAUGAAGUACAUCUCCAAGUUGUUCUUUAAGAAGGCUUAGGGUCCCUGGAAGACCCUCGCCCACACCCAGCGUGGAGCGUUGUUGCUCACGUGGCCACACCUCUCGGGAUGGCCGUGGGUCUCCGUGAUGGGCAGGCGAGUGGAACCACAGGUGCUUCCCGUCCUGGUCACAAAGUCAGAGUGGCUGGGCCAAGUGUCCUGAGAAGAGUCACCUCCUGGGAUCCCAUCAGCCUGGCCAUAGCAGAACACCCAGACAGGGGCCCAUCCCCGAGGCUCAACUCAACGCAUGCAGCCACUGUAGAAAAGUCUGGAAAGUAGUUCUUCAACCGACUAGACAUGGUGAGCCCAAAACCCAGCCAUGACACUCCUAGGCAUCUGCCCCAGAGGAAUGAAAGCAUCCAUCCCCUGCAAACUCAUCCUUACACAGCAGCGUGACUCAAGACGGCCAAAGGCGGAAACACCCCAAACGUCCAUCAGUGGACAAACGGGCAGAUGCAAUGCACUGUCUGUACCGUGGGAUGUCACUCAGCCAUAUGAAGGAAAGACUCCAGUGUGGAUGAGCCCUGGAACCACGGUGCUGCGUGAUCCCGUAACACAUGGCCAGAACAGACACGGCCCGGAACCUGAGGCCGGGAGGAUGCGUGCAGGUGGCGGGGAGACAGAGGGGCGAUGGCCCAGUUUCUUUUGGGCUGAAAAUGGUCUAAAGUUGACUGUGGUGAUGGCUGUACAACUUUGAAUAUGCUGAAAACUCGAAUUACACACUUCAGUUGGGCGAACUGUACUCCAUGUGAAUUACCUCUCGAUGGUUCUCUCCUGGGCUCAGGCGCUUCUCCCACCUUGGCCUCCUGAGUAGCUGGAACUACCAUUCAUGUGCGGAAAUAAAACAACUCGGUCUCAAAA